UAAUAGCUCACUAGUCGAGUGACACUGCGCCGAAAAUGUACCGGGGCUAAACAUAUUACCGAAGCUGUGGAUUGUCCUUUGGACAAUGGUAGGAGAGCGUUCUAAGGGCGUUGAAGCAUGAUCGUAAGGACAUGUGGAGCGCUUAGAAGUGAGAAUGCCGGUGUGAGUAGCGAAAGACGGGUGAGAAUCCCGUCCACCGAUUGACUAAGGUUUCCAGAGGAAGGCUCGUCCGCUCUGGGUUAGUCGGGUCCUAAGCUGAGGCCGACAGGCGUAGGCGAUGGAUAACAGGUUGAUAUUCCUGUACCACCUAUAAUCGUUUUAAUCGAUGGGGGGACGCAGUAGGAUAGGCGAAGCGUGCGAUUGGAUUGCACGUCUAAGCAGUAAGGCUGAGUAUUAGGCAAAUCCGGUACUCGUUAAGGCUGAGCUGUGAUGGGGAGAAGACAUUGUGUCUUCGAGUCGUUGAUUUCACACUGCCGAGAAAAGCCUCUAGAUAGAAAAUAGGUGCCCGUACCGCAAACCGACACAGGUAGUCAAGAUGAGAAUUCUAAGGUGAGCGAGCGAACUCUCGUUAAGGAACUCGGCAAAAUGACCCCGUAACUUCGGGAGAAGGGGUGCUCUUUAGGGUUAACGCCCAGAAGAGCCGCAGUGAAUAGGCCCAAGCGACUGUUUAUCAAAAACACAGGUCUCUGCUAAACCGUAAGGUGAUGUAUAGGGGCUGACGCCUGCCCGGUGCUGGAAGGUUAAGAGGAGUGGUUAGCUUCUGCGAAGCUACGAAUCGAAGCCCCAGUAAACGGCGGCCGUAACUAUAACGGUCCUAAGGUAGCGAAAUUCCUUGUCGGGUAAGUUCCGACCCGCACGAAAGGCGUAACGAUUUGGGCACUGUCUCAACGAGAGACUCGGUGAAAUCAUAGUACCUGUGAAGAUGCAGGUUACCCGCGACAGGACGGAAAGACCCCGUGGAGCUUUACUGUAGCCUGAUAUUGAAAUUCGGCACAGCUUGUACAGGAUAGGUAGGAGCCUUUGAAACGUGAGCGCUAGCUUACGUGGAGGCGCUGGUGGGAUACUACCCUAGCUGUGUUGGCUUUCUAACCCGCACCACUUAUCGUGGUGGGAGACAGUGUCAGGCGGGCAGUUUGACUGGGGCGGUCGCCUCCUAAAAGGUAACGGAGGCGCUCAAAGGUUCCCUCAGAAUGGUUGGAAAUCAUUCAUAGAGUGUAAAGGCAUAAGGGAGCUUGACUGCGAGACCUACAAGUCGAGCAGGGUCGAAAGACGGACUUAGUGAUCCGGUGGUUCCGCAUGGAAGGGCCAUCGCUCAACGGAUAAAAGCUACCCCGGGGAUAACAGGCUUAUCUCCCCCAAGAGUUCACAUCGACGGGGAGGUUUGGCACCUCGAUGUCGGCUCAUCGCAUCCUGGGGCUGUAGUCGGUCCCAAGGGUUGGGCUGUUCGCCCAUUAAAGCGGUACGCGAGCUGGGUUCAGAACGUCGUGAGACAGUUCGGUCCCUAUCCGUCGUGGGCGUAGGAAAUUUGAGAGGAGCUGUCCUUAGUACGAGAGGACCGGGAUGGACAUACCUCUGGUGUACCAGUUGUCGUGCCAACGGCAUAGCUGGGUAGCUAUGUGUGGACGGGAUAAGUGCUGAAAGCAUCUAAGCAUGAAGCCCCCCUCAAGAUGAGAUUUCCCAACUUCGGUUAUAAGAUCCCUCAAAGAUGAUGAGGUUAAUAGGUUCGAGGUGGAAGCAUGGUGACAUGUGGAGCUGACGAAUACUAAUCGAUCGAAGACUUAAUCAA
RNAcentral lists this ribosomal RNA (1786 nucleotides) under Staphylococcus aureus H24637. Its description in RNAcentral is "bacterial LSU rRNA". It matches the Rfam family "Bacterial large subunit ribosomal RNA", at positions 1135 to 2925 of the family's 2925-position model. The record is from RNAcentral. Lineage: Bacteria; Bacillati; Bacillota; Bacilli; Caryophanales; Staphylococcaceae.